GAGAGAUGAAAUAGUGAUACGAUCAAAUUGUGCUAUUCUACAAGUUCCUUGAUGCAAGGCAGGAAGGUCUGACUAGUAAUCCCUGGGAAAUGGGUGACUGAAUCCUGUCUUUGCCUUGGCUGCAGUAGCAUCCAUGCACCUGGAUGCAAUAGCUGAAGCAGGUGCUUACCUCUAAAGACUACAGGGAAGCCCCCUUAUUAUCCUGCAUAGACACCAAAUAUGGGAGCAGCAGUUUAUCUACUGGAGAUGCUGGCAGGGGUAGCCAGUCCUUCCCUGCAGGAAGACUACACCAGGUCUCUUCAUCCUGUGCAUUGUAUCGGAUAACAGUGCCACCCUAGGAUGAAUAGGUGCAGCAUACUAAUCUGCUGGAAGGGAGAACAUAGGUGGCAUAAGAAUAAUGAGAGACUCUAAAAGCAGGAAAACUCCUACUUUAGGUAGCCUGUGAAGAAUUUGACAAACGUCACUGUGAAUAGGUAACUCCAAGUGACUGGAAAUCUACUGUUUUCUGAUGCUCUGAGACAAAAGAGAACUGCACCAGAAUAUGGCAAGUGCAACAUUCGAAGCAGAGAUGCUAUCUUAGUGCAGUUAUGAAAAUUGGAUCACUGUGUUUUACUUAGUUUUUAUUCACUGCCCACUGGAGUUAGUGAGAAGGGAUUUCAGUGCUGGACAUUCAAAUGAAAGGCGAGUGCUGCUGUUGUUUUUCCAGGUAUCUGAUGACUCCCCUUACUCAACCAAAUAUGAACUGACUUUGAAGGGCUUAACUAUUCCUAGCAGGAGUGAUAGCUGUCACACUGCUCAGAGGCAGACUUUAGAAUCAGAGCAAUGUUUGACAAGAAAGAAUGUGUGUUGGCAGCCUUGCUUGAGCCACAUUUCAAGAGCUAUAGAGAAACCAGAGCACUUCCAUGGGAUGACAGAAAAGCUGCUGUUUCAGGGGAAGAGCCAGAGGCCACAUCACUGUCAUUCUUCUCUGCUUCGCAAUCUGCAAAACUCCUUGGAACAACACCUUAGAGCACUUAUGGGACAGUAGAAGCAAUAACAGUUACAAUGACAGCCCAGUACUAGCAAGAUAAUCUAUUAGUGCAACAUUUAUGGCUGUGAUGGAGCAUAUGCUCCAGCAUGAGCUCAUUGCCAUACUACCCAGAGCAGAGUAGCAUUGCUGAGGCCAGCAGGUUGCAUGACACAAGUCCAUGCACACAAGGGAAGACUUCUUAUUUAUUUAU
This is a long non-coding RNA of Mauremys mutica (yellowpond turtle), 1220 nucleotides long. RefSeq lists it as uncharacterized. The record is from RefSeq and is a predicted model, not a curated record. NCBI's taxonomy places the organism in Eukaryota, Metazoa, Chordata, Testudines, Geoemydidae. The transcript is spliced from 3 exons.